GACGAACGCUGGCGGCGUGCUUAACACAUGCAAGUCGAACGGAAAGGCCCUGCUUUUGUGGGGUGCUCGAGUGGCGAACGGGUGAGUAACACGUGAGUAACCUGUCCUUGACUUUGGGAUAACUUCUGGAAACAGGGGCUAAUACCGGAUAGGAGCUCCUGCUGCAUGGUGGGGGUUGGAAAGUUUCGGCGGUUGGGGAUGGACUCGCGGCUUAUCAGCCUGUUGGUGGGGUAGUGGCUUACCAAGGCUUUGACGGGUAGCCGGCCUGAGAGGGUGACCGGCCACAUUGGGACUGAGAUACGGCGCAGACUCCUACGGGAGGCAGCAGUGGGGAAUAUUGCACAAUGGGCGGAAGCCUGAUGCAGCAACGCCGCGUGCGGGAUGACGGCCUUCGGGUUGUAAACCGCUUUCGCCUGUGACGAAGCGUGAGUGACGGUAAUGGGUAAAGAAGCACCGGCUAACUACGUG
This 468-nucleotide ribosomal RNA is filed under the name uncultured bacterium. RNAcentral describes it as "partial 16S ribosomal RNA". It matches the Rfam family "Bacterial small subunit ribosomal RNA", at positions 28 to 507 of the family's 1533-position model. The record is from RNAcentral.